UACGUAGGGUGCGAGCGUUAAUCGGAAUUACUGGGCGUAAAGCGUGCGCAGGCGGUAAUGUAAGACAGAUGUGAAAUCCCCGGGCUUAACCUGGGACCUGCAUUUGUGACUGCAUUGCUGGAGUGCGGCAGAUGGGGAUGGAAUUCCGCGUGUAGCAGUGAAAUGCGUAGAUAUGCGGAGGAACACCGAUGGCGAAGGCAAUCCCCUGGGCCUGCACUGACGCUCAUGCACGAAAGCGUGGGGAGCAAACAGG
RNAcentral lists this ribosomal RNA (253 nucleotides) under uncultured bacterium. RNAcentral's name for it is "partial 16S ribosomal RNA". It matches the Rfam family "Bacterial small subunit ribosomal RNA", at positions 524 to 776 of the family's 1533-position model. The record is from RNAcentral.